CUUAUUUUUUAUAAGAAUGACGGGCGAUAUGUGCAUAUUUUAUUGGUUAUUUUCAAAUUUAAAUUUAAUUAAAAAAUUUUAAUUGCAAAUCCAGUAGUUAACCAAUCUUAAAAAGGGUAACUCGUUAAUUAUUAAAAAUAGUAUUACAUCUUUUUCUUUUUUAUAUCCUAAACCUUGAUUCGUAUUUAAAUGUUAAAAAUUUAUUAGAAAUAUUUAUAGAAUUAAUCUUUGAAACAAUGGUAUAAAAAGUAGUAAAAAAAAUUCUAUUUAACGUGGGUUAUCGAUUACAUGACAUAAUCCUCUGUAAACUUAAAAUACCGCCAUUUUGUUUAGAUUUCUUAUAUUUAAAUACUAUCUUUAAGUAAAAAUAAAA
This 373-nucleotide ribosomal RNA is filed under the name Nalepella torreyae. RNAcentral describes it as "partial small subunit ribosomal RNA". Lineage: Eukaryota; Metazoa; Arthropoda; Arachnida; Trombidiformes; Phytoptidae. The record is from RNAcentral.